This 24-nucleotide non-coding RNA is filed under the name Cricetulus griseus (Chinese hamster). The record is from RNAcentral. Lineage: Eukaryota; Metazoa; Chordata; Mammalia; Rodentia; Cricetidae.
AAGGAUGACACCGCACUGACUCUG